GAAAAACCUUACCUACCCUUGACAUGUCUGGGAAGGCCGAAGAGAUUUGGCUGUGCUCGCAAGAGAACCGGAACACAGGUGCUGCAUGGCUGUCGUCAGCUCGUGUCGUGAGAUGUUGGGUUAAGUCCCGCAACGAGCGCAACCCUUGUCAUUAGUUGCUACGAAAGGGCACUCUAAUGAGACUGCCGGUGACAAACCGGAGGAAGGUGGGGAUGACGUCAAGUCCUCAUGGCCCUUAUGGGUAGGGCUUCACACGUCAUACAAUGGUCGGGGACAGAGGGUCGCCAACCCGCAGGGGGAGCCAAUCCCAGAAACCCGAUCGUAGUCCGGAUCGCAGUCUGCAACUCGACUGCGUGAAGUCGGAAUCGCUAGUAAUCGCGGAUCAGCAUGUCGCGGUGAAUACGUUCCCGGGUCUUGUACACACCGCCCGUCACACCAUGGGAGUGGGUUUUACCAGAAGUAGUUAGCCUAACCGCAAGGAGGGCGAUUACCACGGUAGGAUUCAUGACUGGGGUGAAGUCGUAACAAGGUAGGCGUAGUGCU
RNAcentral lists this ribosomal RNA (543 nucleotides) under uncultured bacterium. Its description in RNAcentral is "bacterial SSU rRNA". It matches the Rfam family "Bacterial small subunit ribosomal RNA", at positions 963 to 1509 of the family's 1533-position model. The record is from RNAcentral.